This 515-nucleotide ribosomal RNA is filed under the name Debaryomyces hansenii. RNAcentral describes it as "LSU rRNA". It matches the Rfam family "Eukaryotic large subunit ribosomal RNA", at positions 80 to 600 of the family's 3401-position model. The record is from RNAcentral. Lineage: Eukaryota; Fungi; Ascomycota; Pichiomycetes; Serinales; Debaryomycetaceae.
UUAGUAACGGCGAGUGAAGCGGCAAAAGCUCAAAUUUGAAAUCUGGCACCUUCGGUGUCCGAGUUGUAAUUUGAAGAAGGUAACUUUGGAGUUGGCUCUUGUCUAUGUUCCUUGGAACAGGACGUCACAGAGGGUGAGAAUCCCGUGCGAUGAGAUGCCCAAUUCUAUGUAAAGUGCUUUCGAAGAGUCGAGUUGUUUGGGAAUGCAGCUCUAAGUGGGUGGUAAAUUCCAUCUAAAGCUAAAUAUUGGCGAGAGACCGAUAGCGAACAAGUACAGUGAUGGAAAGAUGAAAAGAACUUUGAAAAGAGAGUGAAAAAGUACGUGAAAUUGUUGAAAGGGAAGGGCUUGAGAUCAGACUUGGUAUUUUGCGAUCCUUUCCUUCUUGGUUGGGUUCCUCGCAGCUUACUGGGCCAGCAUCGGUUUGGAUGGUAGGAUAAUGACUAAGGAAUGUGGCUCUACUUCGGUGGAGUGUUAUAGCCUUGGUUGAUACUGCCUGUCUAGACCGAGGACUGCGU